GGGCGCUUAGCUCAGCUGGUUUAGAGCACCUGCCUUACAAGUAGGUGGUCGGUGGUUCGAAUCCAUCAGCGCCCAC
This 76-nucleotide transfer RNA is filed under the name uncultured phage cr131_1. Its description in RNAcentral is "tRNA-Val". It matches the Rfam family "tRNA". Rfam says of the family: Transfer RNA (tRNA) molecules are approximately 80 nucleotides in length. Their secondary structure includes four short double-helical elements and three loops (D, anti-codon, and T loops). Further hydrogen bonds mediate the characteristic L-shaped molecular structure. tRNAs have two regions of fundamental functional importance: the anti-codon, which is responsible for specific mRNA codon recognition, and the 3' end, to which the tRNAs corresponding amino acid is attached (by aminoacyl-tRNA synthetases). tRNAs cope with the degeneracy of the genetic code in two manners: having more than one tRNA (with a specific anti-codon) for a particular amino acid; and 'wobble' base-pairing, i.e. permitting non-standard base-pairing at the 3rd anti-codon position. Lineage: Duplodnaviria; Heunggongvirae; Uroviricota; Caudoviricetes; Crassvirales; Darmviridae. The record is from RNAcentral.